Molecule: unclassified non-coding RNA, 354 nt
Filed under: soil metagenome
Description: partial contains 5.8S ribosomal RNA, internal transcribed spacer 2, and large subunit ribosomal RNA
Rfam family: 5.8S ribosomal RNA (bases 1-120)
Source: RNAcentral
GAUGAAGAACGUAGCGAAACGCGAUAUGUAAUGUGAAUUGCAGAAUUCAGUGAAUCAUCGAAUCUUUGAACGCACAUGGCGCCUUCCAGUAUCCUGGGAGGCAUGCCUGUCCGAGCGUCGUUUCAACCCUCGAGCCCCCGUGGCCCGGCGUUGGGGAUCUGCCCAGGCAGUCCCCGAAAACCAGUGGCGGACCGGUUACAGGCCCUUCCCUUGCGUAGUAGCAUUCGCCUCGCAUCGGGAGCCGGCGGGCUUCCAGCCUCUAAACCCCCAUCAAGUCCGCCCCGGCGGCACCAAGGUUGACCUCGGAUCAGGUAGGAAUACCCGCUGAACUUAAGCAUAUCAAUAAGCGGAGGA